CCCUUAGAUGUUCUGGGCCGCACGCGCGCUACACUGAUGCAUGCAACAAGUCUUUUCCUUGGCCGAGAGGCCUGGGCAAUCUUUGAAUAUGCAUCGUGAUGGGGAUAGACGAUUGCAAUUAUUCGUCUUCAACGAGGAAUUCCUAGUAAACGCAAGUCAUCAGCUUGCAUUGAUUACGUCCCUGCCCUUUGUACACACCGCCCGUCGCACCUACCGAUUGAAUGGUCCGGUGAAAUCUCCGGACUGGCGUGAGUCGGAGCAAUCUGACAAACACCGGAAAGUUGAUUAAACCUUACCAUUUAGAGGAAGGUGAAGUCGUAACA
This 323-nucleotide ribosomal RNA is filed under the name uncultured eukaryote. RNAcentral describes it as "partial 18S ribosomal RNA". It matches the Rfam family "Eukaryotic small subunit ribosomal RNA", at positions 1470 to 1796 of the family's 1831-position model. The record is from RNAcentral.